UGGCAUGGGCGAAACCUGAUCCAGCCUGCCGCGUGUGUGAAGAAGGUCUUCGGAUUGUAAAGCACUUUAAGUUGGGAGGAAGGGCAGUAAGCUAAUACCUUGCUGUUUUGACGUUACCGACAGAAUAAGCACCGGGGGCUACUCUGUGCCAGCAGCCGCGGUAAUA
Molecule: ribosomal RNA, 166 nt
Filed under: uncultured bacterium
Lineage: Bacteria
Description: partial 16S ribosomal RNA
Rfam family: Bacterial small subunit ribosomal RNA
Source: RNAcentral